RNAcentral lists this ribosomal RNA (180 nucleotides) under Triticum aestivum (bread wheat). RNAcentral describes it as "partial small subunit ribosomal RNA". The record is from RNAcentral. Lineage: Eukaryota; Viridiplantae; Streptophyta; Magnoliopsida; Poales; Poaceae.
AUGAACUCAAGUUCCGAAGUAAUUACACAUAUAGAAAUCCAAAAAUAAAUCGAUACGAUCCACGUCAUAAUCCAUAUUGGAUUCCCAACUUUAUUAAAGAAAAAAGGAGCAAUCGAAGAAUUAGAGAAAGAUCUACAAAAGGAAAUUAACUCUGUAAACCAGAGAUUUAAUAGAAUGUAA